UGACCAAGGGGUCGGGACGUUCUGCCCGUUUCGGGGGCGGAGUGACCUACGGGUACAGGGAGUGCCUGCGCAAGGACCGGGUCAGGAAAAGC
This 92-nucleotide non-coding RNA is filed under the name Pseudomonas sp. GM48. RNAcentral describes it as "ivy-DE RNA". It matches the Rfam family "ivy-DE RNA". The record is from RNAcentral. Lineage: Bacteria; Pseudomonadati; Pseudomonadota; Gammaproteobacteria; Pseudomonadales; Pseudomonadaceae.